Molecule: long non-coding RNA, 535 nt
Organism: Gasterosteus aculeatus aculeatus (three-spined stickleback)
Lineage: Eukaryota; Metazoa; Chordata; Actinopteri; Perciformes; Gasterosteidae
Source: Ensembl
CAGACAUAGAUGCAUUACUUGAAAAUGCCAGCACAUGACAUCGGCUGAGGACUGCGCUCUGUGCCCUUCUGGAAGAACAAGAGAACUGCUGUUGUGCUUGUUUCGAAAGCCGCGUUACGCAGGUGGAGAAAAGGAGCAGCAGGAAAAAUGAAUGUGAUAAAACAAAUUGCAGUAGUUUUUUUGAACAUUUUUAUCCUACAUGAUUCGGGGGGAAAAUAAUGUUCCUCCAAUACGAAUGCUUAUCUCAAAGUAUUUCCUGCAGGCAAGUCACUCAAUUUAACAGCUACUCGUGUCCUUUUAGCACGUGAUGUUGUGACUGAUGUGCGUUGACAGGCUGAAGGAGGAGCAGCCUUUUGACGGACAGAGGGGAGAUAAACCACAUACGAGCGCUGCAGCCUUUUUAAGCUGUGUUAUUCAAGACAUUCGUUACGCUCUUGGAGCCACCUAAGGGGCCAGACUCUGCUAUCGAGGCCGCGGAGAAACCGUGGAUUCUUCUUUUAGGAGGAACUACACUUUGAUUGGGAAAGCAAAAAAG